This 70-nucleotide ribosomal RNA is filed under the name Ceroctis capensis. RNAcentral's name for it is "partial 5.8S ribosomal RNA". Lineage: Eukaryota; Metazoa; Arthropoda; Insecta; Coleoptera; Meloidae. The record is from RNAcentral.
CAUCGACAUUUCUAACGCACAUUGCGGUCCUCGGAUACUGUUCCUGGACCACGCCUGGCUGAGGGUCGUA